GGGGGCGCGGGACGCGGGGCGGGGAUGGAGGACAAAGGGCUGCGGUGUGGGACGCGAGGUUCGAUACAUGGCACGUACGGCCGGGGCGCGGACGUUGAGGUUGGGACGCGAGGUUGGGUACGUAGCACGUGAGGCUGGGGACAGCGCCGGGGACACGGGCCGUAAGGCUGGGAGCACGGUGUUGAGCACACGGCACGCAGGCCGGGGGACGCGGAGCACGGGGCUGGGGGACGGGACGUGGAACAGGAAGUCUGACAGGGCUGGGACACGGCCAGGAAGGCGCGAUAACGGCUGGCUGUGGGGAAGCGAGUGGGACACUGCCUCUGUAUCCCACCGAGUGCCCUCUCCGUGCGGCGUGGCCCUGGUUUGGGGAGGUGGAAGCCCCUGGGGCGGUGCUCGCAGCCCCCGUUUGACUCAGCCUUAGGGGUGUCUGCUCAUCCUGAGCAGCGCUGCGCCCAGAUUGGGACGGCGAGAGUCAGAUCCCCGCCAAGAGCUGCGGCGUACCAUCUCCCCCUGCACACAGACAGGGUGGGCGCGCAGGCCCCCCGGCACCAGCAGGGCCCGCCUGCCCGCACCCCGCUGCAAUCUUCAUACCUCUGAGCAGCCUCUCGCUCCAGCUCGGCACAUGGCGAGGCCCGGCCUCCCUCUGCUGGCUGCUGCGGGAUCCGUCGCCACACCACGGGGGCUCGGGGUGGCUUCUGGCCCGCAGCUGUGGUACGACAGCACCGAGGUUAAAGGUGGUGCUUAGCGCUCCUGGCAGUGGUUUGCAGCUCCCCAGUAUCACCCAGCCCUGAGCUUGGAGGAAAGAAUGGCAACUGCACCCUGCAGCAAGGGCAGAACCACUUUAUUCCCAUAAAGCACGGGGAACGUUAGAGUUGGUGCGAGGGAGACAACAGGUCCAAAGCCUGGGGGGGCUAUAAAUAAAAGACACAAGCAAGAAUGAAGGAUGCAGAGCCCAGCUGCAUCCCAGGCUGUGCAAUGCCCAAAGGACAAGAGACCCCAGGCACGCAACUGAUGGCAGAGGGCUUUCAGCUCUUAACAGGUGUGGAUGCGGCCUUCAUCGUCUUCUUCAGGUGAUGGUAAUUGGGCAGGAUUUUCAUCAGGAAGUCUAGCUGCAGUGUCUGGGGCUGAAAGGAGAAGCACUGUCAGCAGCAGGCAGCCGUGAGGGGAGCCUGGGGCCAGGGGGACAGCACCUACCUGUGGCCGCUCGGUCUGCACACGGCGAAGGCAGUCGGCACCGUAGAUGACGGUGUUCUCAGGGAUCACCUCGUAGGUGUUAACGUUGCAGCAGGCCCCGAUGAUGCAGCCACUUGUCAGGAUCACAUUCCUGCCAACGAAUGCUGAAAGGAGAGUCCCUGUGAGGGCCACCCUGCUCGGAGCCACGUGCUGCUGCUCUAACAGCAAAAACUCCGGGCAGAACAAAGACAGCCUGAGCUCACCUUUGGAUUCAAUUACAUUGUUAUCUCCCACUUUCAUUGCCUGUGAAUCUGCAGGUUAUUGUCAAAGGAAAACCUUUUGCUUUUGGUUCAAAAGGUGUGCCCAAUGCCACUUUCAAACCAAAACCUGCCCCCUAAGUACCCCCAGGCUACCCGUGCCUGGGCAACAUCCAUGUGUUUCCCUGCAGCACAAGGAUACAGCACCCGACUUCAAAGACAUUGUUGGUGCCAAUGAUCAUGGGCUUGGGCUCCACCUCCUCUGUUUCUGGCGUGAUGUUUUCUGGGUACCUGGAAGACAUGCGGACGUGCUUUAGGCGUUAGCAGCAGCCAUCCUCAGAGCAGGGCAGGAAGAGGGCAGCCCCGCACGCACCCGUUGAUGAUGAGCGCCUGUUCCUCUAUCAGGUUGCCUUCCCCGAUCACAAUGGGCCCUGCCUCCGCGAUGAUCCUGGCCUUCGGGUGUAUCACCGUCCUCGGCCCUGUGGAAACCGCCCCGCGUCACCACAGCCACCAACACGUAGCCCAGGGGGUGACAAGGGCCGCCAGGUGCCAUCCUUACCGAUGGUGACGUCCCCGCGGAUCUCGCUCUCCACACACACCACAGCUCCCGGCGCGAUCUUCACGCUGUGGAGGGGACGCACAGCCGCCGGGCCGCCCUGGGCGGGGCCCGCUACGCUCCUCCCAGCGGUAGGGCAGCCCGACGGACCGGCUGCCGCGGGGCGGGACCCUCGCUCGCAGCCCUCACGUGCUCUCUCCUCGGAACCGGUGGCUGUGGGGCCCGGACCGGGCCGGCCGUGUCCUUUCCGCGGUCCGCCCAGUUGCCGGCAUGCCUGUCUCCGAGCUCCGCACAAGAGACGGGAGAACGCCGGGGAACGGGAGGAGCCCGAAGUUGCGGAUCCCACGAGGAAGCGUCCUGCACUUCCUGGUGACAAGGCAGACUCCCAGAAGCACCAGCAACAGCAGCAUGACAGCAGCAAAUGCACUCCCCAGGGAAGCACCCGUCUGUGAUAAGGAGGCUGCGACCACAGCUUCCUCCAUCUCCAAGAUCAGCGACUUCAUGUUGGUGCCGUUCUUGACCUGAUCGCCCUCGUUGUCGUAGAUCAAGGAGUCAUCCAGCAUCAGCCUCCCAUCACUGUCAACCAGGUCCCUGCGGCCACGCUUUAAGUGACAGAGCCUGUUUGCUGUAGGGAAAACAAAUCCAAAGCAGAAGCAGAGGACAGCACUGCAAGCAAAUUAUUUCGGGAAUGAGUGGUGGUACAAUUAUGUGAGACAGCAGAAGAGGACGUGGAGCUGCCCUGCCUUGGCGAGGACAAGAGAAAAUGGAGAAGGAAGUCUCUAUGUCUAAUAAUCAUUCUCACCUCUGAACUUGGCCUGGGUCUUGAACUCAAUAACCAGUCGGCCAUCCUCACGGAUGUAGAUUCUGAUUAUCUGCAGCCGGGCUGAGAGGACACUGUCCGUCUGAAUCCCUGUGUGGUACAGCAAGAACAAAGUCACUGGGGAGAACACGUGGCACAGCGGUCCUCAGGUGGUGUCUGUCAGCCCUUGGUAGCUCCAGAAGCAUCUGAGAGAGCUCCAAAAAGGCACAGUUGGACUGAGAUCAUCCUCCAGGUGAGUCAGCUGUACGCUUCCAGGUAUUGUAGGAAAGAAAAAUAAAUGAGCUGAAAAUAGAAGACUCACAGGCAAAGGAUAAACUGUAAAUAUACACAGUGAUGUCACGUCUUGGAUGUCACCGGCAGCGGUGGACAGGCACAGUAUGGGACCCACCACUGGCAGUACUGUGGUUUUAACAAGAAAGGGGCUAUGAUGUGAAAAAAUCAACCUGUAAGAGCUAGGAGGCUGAGGAUCACAACUGCAGUUCCCACGUGGAAUUCAGCGGAAAGCACUGGAGAAGCCAUGCCAAAUGUCCCAUGGGAAGCAACCUCUGCCUGGAUGCGGAGGCUCCAAUGAACACAUAGCUCUUUUCCUGCAGCAUCUCAGUGACGACUGUUUCCAUUAACAGACGUCGGGGGAAAUGACAACUCCCUUACUAAGCUUUCACAAAUGCAAGCACAACUGGACUGACACUGCAUGCUGCCCAGACUCGGGACUGCAGUGACAGUCAAGAAACUAAGAAAAAGGGAAAACUGAGAAGAAAACAAUACUCCUGUACACUCUCAAGUGCCUUGGACGUACCUGUCCUCCAGAGAACAGUGUCGUAGAAAAAGGAGAACUCCAUCUCUGUGUGAUGCUCAAGAGAAGCCCAGCCUCUCGGCGCUGUCACAUAAAUAUAGGACACAUAGAGGGGGACGUGGACUGUUAGGAAGGACUGAGCAGAGUCCCGUACCUGUCAACAGAACCCAAGCAGGUGAUUAUGCACUCUUCACAGGAGAGACACUGGCUUGGACUUGCAGCACCCUCUUUGUUCACAUUCUGCUCUGCAAAUGGGGAAAAAAGCCACAGUGUCUGUAACAAAAGACUCCUAUGUAGUAGAGGUGAGAUGAGACCAAGCACACUGGUGCAGUCAGGGGCAAAUCUUUUUCCCUUCCUUUUAAUGCCUGAACUAUUCACUGCAGGAAUAAAACAUCUGCAUCCACGUUACAGACUGCAGCCUAAAGGGAUGAGACACAAACACAACUGGGGAUGGCAGCAUGGAGUCCUGCCUGCCAUGCACUACUGUAGCUUCCUUGGUACCCCUGUGUCACACAAGCUCUGUGGCGCAGAUGUGGCCAGACUGGGGAAUGCUACUCUCACACAGUAGAAAUGUUCUAAAAAAACUCUGUAAAUGUGAGUGUUUUCCAGGCUGCUCCCACUAACUGAAUGACUAUCAAGCAAGCAAUGGUACUUGACUGCUGAGAGCAGAAUUUUAGAAAGGGCUCAAAAGAGCUCCCAGGUUCACUGCUCCCACUGUGGAUCCAAAAUUAAGCAGGCCCUUCUGACUGUGGGAACCCUCACCAGGCUUCUAGAAAGAGGGAGAAAGCUUGAGUCCCGGAUCAGCAACAAGUGUAUGCAUCACCCUUUUUGGCAGACCUCCUGAUAUGUGGAUUUGAACAUCUGUGAUGGAUGUAAAAUGAAAACGCCUACAGUGUUUCUGGGAAAUCAGAGGCAUGCAAGUUGUUCCACAGUCACUCCAAUGCAGGAAUUUGCAUUAAAAACAAUAAAUUAAUUUGCAAAACAUGUAUCACUAGAUGGUAAUUUGAAAAAUAAUAACAAAGAACUGCUGGGGAAGAAGUAUAGAAGCAUAGAGUGCUCCUCACAUAAUAGAAAAACCCUAUAAUUAAGUCAGAUAUCCACACACGAACCUUCUUUGCAGGUUUGACUGAAGUGCUUUCAUGUAUUUUAAAUAAGAGCAAGAGUUAAAGCACACUGCUGUCAUUAAUGCACCUAACAAAGGGAGUUGUGGUUACAGCUUUAUCUUGAAAAGAGUUUCCAAUUCCAUGAAUUAAAAUGAAGCAAUUCUGCUUUCUCAGAAGUGCCCUAAGAGCACUUGAAGCAUCACAGGUCUCUGGCUCUGAGUACAGCAUUUAUGAUCUGUGGGGCACAGCUGUACUGUGUGAGCCCUCAGAGAGCUCAGAGAGACAUUCCAGACUGGUCGGUGCCAGUCUCCACAUACUACAUAAUGCAGAUGCUCAGUUCAAGGAGCUUCUCUGGAUUUGUGUAAAUAACACAGAUGGUAUAAAAGGGAAGUUAACAAAACAUUCCAGACCUGCAGGAAUUAAAAUAGACUGUGUUGGCCAUAACGUUCUGACUGGAAAUCCAACGCAAGAAUCUAAUGCAGUUAAGACUCAUUUGAGUGAGGUGCACGUUUAUGAUCUGUCCAUGUGAGGGCAGUAAAACACAUCUUUGUCGUGAAAACCACUAUUUUACAAGAGAACAUUUCUGGCUUUUGGUGUGAGGGUAAUUAAUUAAGGAAUUACGUAAAAAUUUUGAUGGCUUCCCUUCACUGAACGUGGCCUCUGCUCUUUGUUCAUUCACAUGGGCAAAGAAUGGGGUAACAGUUGUAAGAGAACUGAACGCAGGUCUCAAUGUUUUGUAUUUCCUGGAUAUCCUUACGUUAGGAAAAAAGUACUCUGAAGAAGAAUAAAAGAAUAAAGCCUGUGUUAUCCCAGCCAAAAUAAAUGAAUUAUGUGUAUUUC
Molecule: long non-coding RNA, 5545 nt
Organism: Gallus gallus (chicken)
Lineage: Eukaryota; Metazoa; Chordata; Aves; Galliformes; Phasianidae
Exons: 6
Source: RefSeq, a predicted model, not a curated record